This 329-nucleotide long non-coding RNA is filed under the name Linum usitatissimum (flax). RNAcentral's name for it is "long non-coding RNA (LUSI_LNC003163)". Lineage: Eukaryota; Viridiplantae; Streptophyta; Magnoliopsida; Malpighiales; Linaceae. The record is from RNAcentral.
AUGGGAAAAAAUUGAACUGAAAAAUAUAUUUAUGAUAAAGAUUUGAAGGUUAGAGAGAAAUAUGUUUUUUUUUGGUUUUUUUUUGUACGGGUGUAAACCCUUUGUAACUUGUUUUGUUUUUCUUUUCUUUUUUUACUUGGAUUGAUGAUAUAUAAUGGAUGUAUGGUUUUAUAUAGUCAGUACAAACUUAACAAGACAAAAUAUAUUUAUUUUAUCAUCUUAUCACAAACUAACUUUAUUUAAUUUUGGUGGCUUGAUGAUGGAGAUUGUUGGUGGCUAUAAGUGGAUUGUGUUAGUGGCUUGUUGAUUCAAAAAUAAAUGAGUGAAAG